RNAcentral lists this ribosomal RNA (468 nucleotides) under uncultured bacterium. Its description in RNAcentral is "partial 16S ribosomal RNA". It matches the Rfam family "Bacterial small subunit ribosomal RNA", at positions 28 to 507 of the family's 1533-position model. The record is from RNAcentral.
GACGAACGCUGGCGGCGUGCUUAACACAUGCAAGUCGAACGGAAAGGCCCUGCUUUUGUGGGGUGCUCGAGUGGCGAACGGGUGAGUAACACGUGAGUAACCUGCCCUUGACUUUGGGAUAACUUCAGGAAACUGGGGCUAAUACCGGAUAGGAGCUCCUGCUGCAUGGUGGGGGGUGGAAAGUUUCGGCGGUUGGGGAUGGACUCGCAGCUUAUCAGCUUGUUGGUGGGGUAGUGGCUUACCAAGGCUUUGACGGGUAGCCGGCCUGGGAGGGUGACCGGCCACAUGGCGACUGAGAUACGGCCCAGACUCCUACGGGAGGCAGCAGUGGGGAAUAGUGCAAAAUGGGCGGAAGCCUGAUGCAGCAACGCCGGGUGCGGGAUGACGGCCGUCGGGUUGUAAACCGCUUUCGCCUGUGACGAAGCGUGAGUGACGGUAAUGGGUAAAGAAGCACCGGCUAACUACGUG